Non-coding RNA from Sutterella sp. CAG:397, 99 nucleotides. It matches the Rfam family "Bacterial small signal recognition particle RNA". Rfam says of the family: The signal recognition particle (SRP) is a universally conserved ribonucleoprotein involved in the co-translational targeting of proteins to membranes. Archaeal SRP consists of a 7S RNA and homologues of the eukaryotic SRP19 and SRP54 proteins. NCBI's taxonomy places the organism in Bacteria, Pseudomonadati, Pseudomonadota, Betaproteobacteria, Burkholderiales, Sutterellaceae. The record is from Rfam.
GGCGGGUCCCCUCGCAUGAAAGCUCUGUGAACCUGGUCAGGUCGGGAACGAAGCAGCCACAGCGGAAGUCUUUUAGUGCCGAGGAUAAGGCUCGCCGUU